This is a long non-coding RNA of Myzus persicae (green peach aphid), 761 nucleotides long. RefSeq lists it as uncharacterized. The record is from RefSeq and is a predicted model, not a curated record. The transcript is spliced from 2 exons. Lineage: Eukaryota; Metazoa; Arthropoda; Insecta; Hemiptera; Aphididae.
AUUUAAAUAUUUAUUAUUUAACGUAAUAUUCUGUAAUAUUACUCAAGUUAUAAGUAGCAUAAUAUACUACUUAUAAUUUAUACUAUACCCAGGGGGCCUAUACCUACUUAUCUGAUAUCUAUGUUAACUGUAGUAAGUAAUAACCAGUAAGCACGUAACUGAUUGUUCGUUGUACAUUUGAUAUUUGAAUUUGCGAUAAAUUGCCGCCAAAAAGUCUAAUUUCAACAAUGCGUAUAGCAAUGAGGCACGACGCAAACGUGUUGUAAGACAUCGUGAAUCGACUGAUGAAAUUAUUGCAAGAAACAACGCAGCUCAGAGAAUCAGGGCAGCACAGAGUCGUGCACAAGAAUCUCGAGAGCAGAGUGAUGAACGUCUGUGACAAAAAAAACUUUUAGAACAAGAACGGUGCGUGAACAGCAUAUACCUAGACACAUUUAGAGCCCGAGAGCGAACGAGACAGCAAACCAACACCAUAUUAACAUAUUGAUGUAUUUUAAAUCAAUCGACACUACUGUCAAUGAAAACGAAACAGUAAAUUGUCCUACUGAAUUUUUAAAUUCUCUGGAUAUAUCAGAAAUGCCACCAUACAAUCUUCGAUUGAAGAUUGGUUCACCAGUUAUUCUUUUGCGUAAUUCGGGCAACUUUAUGUUGUAAGCUCACGUGUGGGGAAGCCAUCAAAUCUAUUUAUAUUAGCAAAGGACAGGUUAACCAAAAAUAUUGUGCACCAUUUCUUAGUUAAAUUAAAAUUAUUAUUAUAAUUA